Molecule: non-coding RNA, 31 nt
Filed under: Rattus norvegicus (Norway rat)
Lineage: Eukaryota; Metazoa; Chordata; Mammalia; Rodentia; Muridae
Source: RNAcentral
CACAAUGAGAAAGAUGAGACGGGCUUUAGGA